GACGUCCUAUUACAAUUAGGCGUCCGCCGGGUACUACGAGCACUAGCUUGAAACCCAAAGGACCUGACGGUGUCUCAGACCCCCCUAGAGGAGCCUGUUCUAGAACCGAUAACCCCCGUUGAACCUCACCACUUCUAGCCACCCCAGCCUAUAUACCGCCGUCGUCAGCCUACCCUGUGAAGG
RNAcentral lists this ribosomal RNA (183 nucleotides) under Phenacobius mirabilis. RNAcentral's name for it is "partial 12S ribosomal RNA". Lineage: Eukaryota; Metazoa; Chordata; Actinopteri; Cypriniformes; Leuciscidae. The record is from RNAcentral.